This 462-nucleotide ribosomal RNA is filed under the name uncultured bacterium. RNAcentral's name for it is "partial 16S ribosomal RNA". It matches the Rfam family "Bacterial small subunit ribosomal RNA", at positions 28 to 507 of the family's 1533-position model. The record is from RNAcentral.
GAUAAACGCUGGCGGCGUGCUUAACACAUGCAAGUCGAACGAAGUUUUUCCUUCGGGAGAAACUUAGUGGCGGACGGGUGAGUAACGCGUGGGUAACCUGCCCUGUACAGGGGGACAACAGCUGGAAACGGCUGCUAAUACCGCAUAAGCACUUAGCACUGCAUUGUGCUUAGGGCAAAGGAGCAAUCCGGUAUAGGAUGGACCCGCGUCUGAUUAGCCAGUUGGCAGGGUAACGGCCUACCAAAGCGACGAUCAGUAGCCGAUCUGAGAGGAUGUACGGCCACAUUGGGACUGAGACACGGCCCAGACUCCUACGGGAGGCAGCAGUGGGGAAUAUUGCACAAUGGAGGAAACUCUGAUGCAGCGACGCCGCGUGAGUGAAGAAGUAUUUCGGUAUGUAAAGCUCUAUCAGCAGGGAAGAAAAUGACGGUACCUGACUAAGAAGCACCGGCUAAAUACGUG